Molecule: ribosomal RNA, 119 nt
Filed under: Amphiprion percula (orange clownfish)
Lineage: Eukaryota; Metazoa; Chordata; Actinopteri; Pomacentridae
Source: RNAcentral
GCUUACGGCCAUACCAGCCUGAAUACGCCCGAUCUCGUCUGAUCUCGGAAGCUAAGCAGGGUCGGGUCUGGUUAGUACUUGGAUGGGAGACCGCCUGGGAAUACCAGAUGCUGUAAGCU